Gorilla gorilla gorilla (western lowland gorilla) is the source of this 1782-nucleotide non-coding RNA. The record is from the annotation of a RefSeq genome assembly. NCBI's taxonomy places the organism in Eukaryota, Metazoa, Chordata, Mammalia, Primates, Hominidae.
GAGGAGCCCCAGCCCUGAGAUUCCCAGUUGUUUACAUUCAGUGAUCAGCACCGAACACAGAGGACUUGCCAUGGAGUUUGGGCUGAGCUGGGUUUUCCUUGUUGCUAUUUUAAAAGGUGUCCAGUGUGAAGUGCAGCUGGUGGAGUCUGGAGGAGGCUUGGUACAGCCUGGGGGGUCCCUGAGACUCUCCUGUGCAGCCUCUGGAUUCACCUUCAGUGACUACUACAUGAGCUGGGUCCGCCAAGCUCCAGGGAAGGGUCUGGAGUGGGUCUCUGGUAUUAAUUGGAAUGGUGGUAGCACAGGUUAUGCAGACUCCGUGAAGGGCCGAUUCACCAUCUCCAGAAACAACGCCAAGAACUCCCUGUAUCUGCAAAUGAACAGUCUGAGAGCUGAGGACACAGCCUUGUAUUACUGUGCGAGAGACACAUUCUUGCCUGGGGUCCUGGCAUUGUUGUCACAAUGUGACAACUGGUUCGACCCCUGGGGCCAGGGAACCCUGGUCACCGUCUCCUCAGCCUCCACCAAGGGCCCAUCGGUCUUCCCCCUGGCGCCCUGCUCCAGGAGCACCUCCGGGGGCACAGAGGCCCUGGGCUGCCUGGUCAAGGACUACUUCCCCAAACCGGUGACGGUGUCGUGGAACUCAAGCGCCCUGACCAGUGGCGUGCACACCUUCCCGGCUGUCCUACAGUCCUCAGGACUCUACUCCCUCAGCAGCGUGGUGACCGUGCCCUCCAGCAGGUUGGGCACCCAGACUUACACCUGCAAUGUGAAUCACAAGCCCAGCACCACCAAGGUGGACAAGAGAGUUGAGCUCAAAACCCCACUUGGUGACACAACUCACACAUGCCCACGGUGCCCAGAGCCCAAAUCUUGUGACACACCUCCCCCGUGCCCACGGUGCCCAGAGCCCAAAUCUUGUGACACACCUCCCCCGUGCCCACGGUGCCCAGAGCCCAAACCUUGUGACACACCUCCCCCGUGCCCACGGUGCCCAGCACCUGAACUCCUGGGAGGACCGUCAGUCUUCCUCUUCCCCCCAAAACCCAAGGACACCCUCAUGAUUUCCCGGACCCCUGAGGUCACGUGCGUGGUGGUGGACGUGAGCCACGAAGACCCCGAGGUCCAGUUCAACUGGUAUGUGGAUGGCGUGGAGGUGCAUAAUGCCAAGACAAAGCCGCGGGUGGAGCAGUACAACAGCACGUACCGUGUGGUCAGCGUCCUCACUGUCGUGCACCAGGACUGGCUGAAUGGCAAGGAGUACAAGUGCAAGGUCUCCAACAAAGCCCUUCCAGCCCCCAUCGAGAAAACCAUCUCCAAAACCAAAGGGCAGCCCCGAGAACCACAGGUGUACACCCUGCCCCCAUACCGGGAGGAGAUCACCAAGAACCAGGUCAGCCUGACCUGCCUGGUCAAAGGCUUCUACCCCAGCGACAUCGCCGUGGAGUGGGAGAGCAGCGGGCAGCCGGAGAACAACUACAAGACCACGCCUCCCAUGCUGGACUCCGACGGCUCCUUCUUCCUCUACAGCAAGCUCACCGUGGACAAGAGCAGGUGGCAGCAGGGGAACGUCUUCUCAUGCUCCGUGAUGCAUGAGGCUCUGCACAACCACUUCACGCAGAAGAGCCUCUCCCUGUCUCCGGGUAAAUGAGUGCGACGGCCGGCAAGCCCCCGCUCCCCGGGCUCUCAGGGUCGCGCGAGGAUGCUUGGCACGUACCCCGUGUACAUACUUCCCGGGCGCCCAGCAUGGAAAUAAAGCACCCAGCGCUGCCCUGGGCCCCUGCG